Choloepus didactylus (southern two-toed sloth) is the source of this 6936-nucleotide RNA transcript. It is a transcript of the gene named tudor domain containing 6, with no coding region annotated. The record is from RefSeq and is a predicted model, not a curated record. The transcript has 6 exons. NCBI's taxonomy places the organism in Eukaryota, Metazoa, Chordata, Mammalia, Pilosa, Megalonychidae.
CGGGGUGGUUCGCGGCUCUAACCGCUCGGUAACCCGUGUCGGCGCCGCACCCUGGAGAUGUGCUCGACGCCCGGGCUGCCGACGCCGGGAGCCUCGCUGGCUCUGCGGGUGUCCUUCGUAGACGUCCACCCCGAGGUGAUCCCCGUGCAGCUAUGGGGGCUGGUGGGCGAGCGGCGGGAAGAGUACGUGCGGCUGAGCCGGGAGAUCCAAGAGGCGGCGGCCACGCGCGGGCCGUGGGCGUUGGGCGGCGCCUCCGCCUCGCCGGGAGAGCUGUGUCUGGUGCAGAUGGGGCUGAUGUGGCACCGCUGCCGCGUGGUCAGCCGGCAGGCGCAGGAGAGCCGCGUCUUCCUGCUGGACGAGGGCCGCACCAUCACCGCCGGCGCGGGCUCGCUGGCGCCAGGGCGCAGCGAAUUCUUCCACCUGCCCUCGGAGGUGCUGGGCUGCGUGCUGGCCGGCCUGGUGCCGACAGGCGGCGGCGGCGCGGGCGGGGGCGAGCCCCAGCACUGGCCGUCCAGGGCUGUGGACUUCCUUAGCAACCUGCAGGGCAAGGAGGUGCACGGGCGGGUCCUGGACGUGCUGCCCACCCAUCGCCUGGUCCUUCUGGAGGUGCCCGGUCUGUUCCAGCAGAUGCAGGAACUCGGCCUGGCUCGGCAGGUGCCUGACAGCCUCUUCCGCUCGCUGCUCAAGCGCUACCUCUCGGCGGCCACGGCUGGCCCCGGCCCCGGGGCCCCAAUUCUCCCGCGAGUCCUGCCCAAGCAAGAGCAGCCUGGCCUGGAUUACUUCUAUCCCCAGCUGCAACUGGGUGUGACGGAGCCCGUCGUGGUAACUCAAGUGUGCCAUCCCCACCGCAUUCACUGUCAGCUCCGGAGCCUCUCGCAGGAGAUUCGCCGCCUGUCUGAGAGCAUGGCCCAGGUAUACCAGGGUUCCACGGGGACAGGGGAUGAGAACUGUACCAGUGCCACCUGGGAAGAAAGGGAGGAGAGCCCAGACAAGCCGGGCUCUCCGUGUGCAUCCUGUGGACUGGAUGGACAUUGGUACAGGGCACUCUUGCUUGAGACUUUUCGGCUGCAGCGCUGUGCCCAAGUGCUUCACAUAGACUAUGGAAGGAAGGAGUUAGUGAGCUGUAGUAGCCUUCGGUACUUGCUGCCUGAAUAUUUUCGAAUGCCUGUGGUGACCUACCCUUGUGCUUUGUACGGACUCUGGGAUGGUGGGAGAGGCUGGUCGCGAUCACAAGUGGGCGAUCUGAAGGCACUGAUACUGGGCCAGGCAGUGAAUGCAAAGAUUGAAUUUUAUUGUUCCUUCGAGCAUGUGUAUUAUGUCACCCUUUAUGGAGAAGAUGGGAUUAAUCUUAACUGUGUGUUUGGAGUACAGUCAUGUUGCUUGGCUGACAGAUUGCUUCAGAGCCAGGGAAUAGAGGAGGAGGAAGAAGAAGAACCAGAAACAGCUCUUCAGUCUCAGUCUCCUGCUGAAGAACUGGAUGAAGAGAUUUCACUCCCAGCCUUAAGAUCUAUCAGGUUAAAGAUGAAUGCCUUCUAUGAUGCCCAGGUAGAAUUUGUUAAAAGUCCUUCGGAGUUUUGGAUUAGGUUGAGGAAACACAAUAGCACCUUCAGUAAACUGAUGAGGAGAAUGUGUAGUUUCUAUUCCUCGGCCAGUAAGCUGGAUGGCGUAGUUUUGAAACCUGAACCUGAUGACCUUUGCUGUGUCAAAUGGAAAGAAAAUGGUUAUUAUCGGGCCAUAGUUACCAGAUUAGAUGACAGAAGUGUAGAUGUCUUCUUGGUUGACCGAGGUAAUUCAGAAAAUGUGGACUGGUAUGACAUGAGGAUGUUGCUUCCUCAGUUUAGGCAUCUACCAGUGUUGGCUCUGAGAUGCACCCUAGCUGAUAUUUGGCCUUUGGGAAAAAGUUGGAGCCAGGAGGCAAUUUCCUUUUUUAAAAAGACUGUGCUCCACAAAGAAUUAGUUAUCCAUGUCCUUGAUAAGAAGGAUCAUCAAUAUGUUAUUGAGAUUCUUGAUGAAUCAAGAGCAGGGGAAGAAAACAUCAGUCAGGUUAUUGCUCAAGCUGGAUAUGCCAAGUAUCAGGAAUUUGAAACAAAGGAAAAUAUCCCCAUAGGUGCCUACUCCCCAGGGCAUACUUCAAACCACUUUACUAUGGAGAAUAACAAAAUAUCUUCUACCAAGAAAGUGGAAGUAGAACAGAAAACCAAGAGAGAUAAUAAAACUGUAUCUGUUUUAGAAGCUGUAACUGAUACAAUUGUUACAAAUGUUUCAACUGGACUAGUUGUGCAGGAUAAAGAGGGGAAAAAAUCGGUUUAUUCUCCUCUUACACAAAAUUUCUUGGAAAUUAAGCCAGGCUCUUCUUGUAAAGGAGGACUAGAAGUUGGAAGUACAGUAGAAGUCAAAGUGUCUUAUGUUGAAAACCCUGGUUAUUUCUGGUGCCAGCUAACCAGGAACAUGCAAGGAUUUAGAACUCUAAUGUGUAAUAUUCAGGACUAUUGCAAAAAUAUAGCAACUCCUUAUCAGGGAACCACCCCCGCCUGUUUAGCAAAACGAACAGUAAAUGGAAAAUGGUCCAGAGCUCUGAUUAGUGGGGCACAAUCUGCAGAACAUGUCAAAGUAAUAUUUGUAGAUUAUGGAGACAAAGAUAUAGUAUCUGUGAAGAAUAUUUAUGCAAUUAGUGAAGAAUUUCUCAAGGUUAAGGCUCAGGCUUUUAGAUGUAGUCUUUAUAAUUUAAUUCAACCAACUGGUCAGAAUCCCUUUGUUUGGGAUGAAAAGGCAAUCCAAGCCUUUAAUGAAUUUGUAGAUAAUGCAUGGGAAGGCAAUCUAGAAUUAAAAUGCACAAUAUUUGCUUUGGCAUCAAUGCAAGAUGAAGAAUUGUUUAAUGUCGUGGAUUUGCUAACACCCUUUCAGAGUGCCUGUCAUUAUUUGGUAGAAAAGAGACUUGCAAGACCAGUAAAACUUCAGAAGCCUCUAGAGUCCUCUGUUCAGCUACAUUCUUAUUACUAUUCUACACAUGAUAUGAAAAUUGGAAGUGAAGAGUCAGUGUAUAUAACACAUGUUGAUGACCCCUGGACAUUUUAUUGCCAAUUGGCAAGAAAUGCCAACAUUUUAGAACAGUUGACAUGUAAUAUUACACAAUUAAGUAAAGUUUUGAUGAAUUUAAAAACAUUUCCCUUGAUCCCUGGAACCUUGUGCCUUGCCAAAUAUACUGAUGGAAACUGGUACAGGGGGAUAGUAAUAGAAAAAGAACCAAAGAAAGUCUUCUUUGUUGAUUUUGGGAAUGUUUAUGUAGUAACAAAUGAUGAUCUGCUUCCCAUACCUAGUGAUGCAUAUGAUGUCUUACUUUUGCCCAUGCAAGCUGUUAAAUGUUCAUUAUGUGAUAUUCCUCAUCAUAUACCAAAAGAAGUCACAUCAUGGUUUCAGGAGACUAUUUUAGAUAAGUCAUUGAAGGCCUUGGUUGUUGCAAAAGAUCCAGGUGGAAGGCUGAUUAUAGAACUAUAUGAUGACAGUAUUCAAAUUAAUGCUAGUGUUAAUGAGAAGUUAGGGUUACUUGGUUACAAAGGUGGGGCAAGAAAAAAAGAAACAGAAGCAAUCCUCUCUACAAUGGAAACUCUUGAAGAAAAAAAUGAAAAUAUGAAGUUGUCACCUACAGAAUAUUCAAAUAAACCAGUGGAGAAUAAAUUAUACAAUAUGGAGAUCUUGGGAGAAUCAUACAAACCUAAGAUUGGCUCAGCAUGUAAAGAACCCAAACUUUUACAAAGUUCAAAAAAGACAAACUUAGCCACUCAAUAUCAGGACUCUGUGGGAAAUAAUAAAAUAAUCAAAAAUAAUCAAAUUUCUCCAUUAACAAUAGAAAAGGAAGACAUUUUCACUGAGCCAUCUUUGAAAACCACAAAAAUUGAAGUCACAGUUUCAGAGGGGAAAAGAGGAGAACGUAACAAACAUCUGCCUCUUAAAUAUUGUGAGUUCCCUCAGAAGACUAUAAUGCCUGGCUUUAAAACAACUGUAUAUGUAUCCCACAUAAAUGACCCAUCAGACUUUUACGUUCAACUAACAGAAGAUGAAGCUGAAAUUAAUUGUCUUUCAGAGAGAUUAAAUGAUGUGAGAACAAGGCCUGAAUCCCAUGUGGGUCCACCUUUGCAAAGAGGAGAUGUAAUAUGUGCCAUUUUUCCAGAAGACAAUUUAUGGUAUCGUGCUGUGGUCGAGGAACAACAACCUAAUGACCUUCUGUCUGUACAGUUUAUAGAUUAUGGCAAUGUUUCUGUUGUUCAGACUAACAAAAUAGGUAGGCUUGACAUAAUGAAUGCAUUACUGCCAGGGUUAUGCAUUCAUUGCUCAUUAAAGGGACUUUGGAUUCCUGAGAUUAUAAACAGUAAGGAAAUGAUGCAUUACUUUUCCCGAAGGACAGAUGAGACUCAGAUAAGAUGUGAAUUUGUUAAAUUUCAAGAUAGGUGGGAAGUUAUUCUUGCAGAUGAACAUGGGAUCAUAGCAGAAGACAUGAUUAGCAGAUACGUUUUCAGUGAAAAAUCUCAAAUAGGACUUUCUACUGAAAUAAUUAAAAGUACCUGUUCAAAGUCUACUAACAAAUCAGACAUUGACACUUCAGUAUUUCUUAACUGGUAUAAUCCAAAACUGAAGACGAUAAGAGCUUAUGCCACUGUGAUAGAUGGACCAGAGUAUUUUUGGUGUCAGUUUGCGGAUACCGAGAAACUUCAGUAUUUAGAAGUGGAAGUACAAAUUGCUGGAGAACAGGUAACAAGUUAUAGCCCAUGCCCUCAUAUUGGGGAUCCUUGCAUAGUGAGAUAUAGAGAAGAUGGGCAUUAUUAUAGGGCACUUAUCACUAAUAUUUGUGAAGAUAAUCUUAUAUCUGUCAGGCUUGUGGACUUUGGAAACAUUGAAGAUUGUGUGGACCCAAAAGCACUCUGGAAUAUUCCUUCUGAACUUUUGUCGGUUUCCAUGCAAGCUUUUCCAUGUUGCCUAUCAGGAUUUAGUAUUUCAGAAGGAGUGUGCUCUCCAGAGGGAAAUGACUAUUUUUAUGAAAUAGUAACAGAAGAUGUGUUGGAAAUAACAAUAUUAGAGAUCAAAAGGGAUGUUUGUAAUAUUCCUUUAGCCAUUGUUGACUUGAAAAGCAAAGGCGAAAGUAUUAAUGAGAAAAUGAGGAAAUAUUCUAAGGUUGGUAUUACUAACAGUGAUCUGCUCCAUGACAAAAAUGGUCUGGAAAUGGCCCUUGGGUCCCCCAGUUCUGAUGUUGGACUUAAGAAACAAAGUAGUAAAGUUGUACAAAAUAAAAUAUUCUGUGUAGAACCACAGACAGAUGAGCUCUCUGAAAGAAUUGAAAAGGAUUUAAACAUUAUUGAAACCAAACCGAGUAAAUUCUAUGACCCUGAAACUGAUAACAUUUUUGAAAACCCAUGCAAAGGUAAAAUUGGUACUGAAGUACUAGAAGGUAAAGUAGAGUGUCAUUUGGCUGACAAAGCAAAGUUCGAUGAUAAGUACCUCAUUACAGGAUUUAAUACAUUAUUACCACAAGCUAGUGAAACAAAGGAGAUACUAGAAAUGAAUUCACUUGAGAUGCCACUUUCCCCUGAUGAUGAAUCAAAAGAAUUUUUAGAACUAGAAUCCACUGAGUUACAGCUUUCUCUAGUUGGGGAUGAAGAAAAAGAAGAGCUAGGCCUGGUGCCACCAAUUGUGCCACUCUCCCAAAGCUGUGAUACAAAAGCCUCCCUGGAACCAUUUACAGUUCAGCUUCCACUCAGCUGUGAAAUAGAGAAACAGCCAGAAUUAGAACUACCUAUGGCCCAGCUGUCAUUAGAUGACAAAGUAAAUCCUUUGUUUUUAAAAGUUAGUCAGAAAGCCCAAGAAUCCAUGUGUGCUGAGGACACCAGAAAGGCAAGUUGUGUGGAAUGUUUUGAUGACCAGCACAGAAUACCAUUGCAUCUACAUGGGAACAACUGUGGUCCCAAUUUGCAGACUGAAAUGAGUAUAUAUAAAGAAGAAUAUUCAGAAUAUAAAAACAGGGGUGCCAUUUCAUCAUUGACUCCUUUGUUCUCUGAAGAGGAAUCUAAAGAUGGAAGGAAACAUAAUAAUGCUUUACCAGAUCAUGUCUCAGUUCAACCAGAGAACAUCUACACUCUGAAAGGAUUUGCUGUUGGAUCCAAAUGUGUUGUGUGGUCAGAUCUAAGAAACACAUGGUCUAAGUGUGAGAUUUUGGAAAUAGCUGAAGAAGGCACAAGGAUCUCCUCCUGCAGAAGUCUGUACUUCCUGCAUUGUUUUGAACCUUUCAAAUGGCAUGGAGGAGUUGGUGAACCCUGAAAAUGUCUGGAAUGGCAUACCCAAAUUGGAUAAGAGUCCAUCUGAGGGUAUAUUCCAAACAGUGGGAAAAGAUCUUUACUUCAUGUCAUCAGAUGAUACUGCAAUUAAAGAAAAGGAGUCUGGGAGUGAUAUAGAUCCAUAGAUGUGGCCGGUCAGAAGCUCUCUUAAACAAGUUGCAUCUUGCCCAGACCAACAAAGUAUUUGAGAAAAUUGUGAGAGUGUAACCACAAGAAGCUUCCAUUUUCAAAACCUGAUAUGUGCCUAAAACAAAAUAGUAUGUUUAUAUCAGUAUGGCUGUGUCUACAGAUCUGGGAUCUUUCCUCUCCCUUUAAAUAUCUUAUGUUUCUAAUCAAUUGGGAGGAUUUAUUGUCCUAAACAGUUUGCUAAAACAUUUACUCAUUUCAAAAAACUAUUUUGGUAUCUUUUGAAUAUAGUGUUUAAAUUAAAAUAGAAAAAUAUAGGUCUAUGACAGAUAAAUAAUGCUACUUCAGAGGAUGGCUCUGUUAGUGGUUAAGUCCUUCAGAAUUUUUGUUUUGUUUUUGAAGCUUUUCCUUGUCUGUUUAUUUAAACAUUAACCAACAUUCAUUUGAAUUUGGAAGUACUCUAAUAUGAAACAAGAUUUGAAUAAAG